AUUCAGCUGACGAGUCCUAAAUAGGACGAAACAAGCGUCGUUGAU
Molecule: non-coding RNA, 45 nt
Filed under: Schistosoma curassoni
Lineage: Eukaryota; Metazoa; Platyhelminthes; Trematoda; Strigeidida; Schistosomatidae
Source: RNAcentral